AACUGUUGCCUCGGCGGGAUCUCUGCCCCGGGUGCGUCGCAGCCCCGGACCAAGGCGCCCGCCGGAGGACCAACCAAAACUCUUUUUGUAUACCCCCUCGCGGGUUUUUUAUAAUCUGAGCCUUCUCGGCGCCUCUCGUAGGCGUUUCGAAAAUGAAUCAAAACUUUCAACAACGGAUCUCUUGGUUCUGGCAUCGAUGAAGAACGCAGCGAAAUGCGAUAAGUAAUGUGAAUUGCAGAAUUCAGUGAAUCAUCGAAUCUUUGAACGCACAUUGCGCCCGCCAGUAUUCUGGCGGGCAUGCCUGUCCGAGCGUCAUUUCAACCCUCGAACCCCUCCGGGGGGUCGGCGUUGGGGAUCGGCCCUCCCUUAGCGGGUGGCCGUCUCCGAAAUACAGUGGCGGUCUCGCCGCAGCCUCUCCUGCGCAGUAGUUUGCACACUCGCAUCGGGAGCGCGGCGCGUCCACAGCCGUUAAACACCCAACUUCUGAAAUGUUGACCUCGGAUCAGGUAGGAAUACCCGCUGAACUUAAGCAUAUCAAUA
RNAcentral lists this ribosomal RNA (540 nucleotides) under Trichoderma harzianum. RNAcentral's name for it is "eukaryotic LSU rRNA". The stretch from base 162 to 315 matches the Rfam family "5.8S ribosomal RNA". The record is from RNAcentral. Lineage: Eukaryota; Fungi; Ascomycota; Sordariomycetes; Hypocreales; Hypocreaceae.